UAGAGUUCAUUUACUCAUAGUUACUUAAGUUUUGCUGUUCAUACAAUAUAGAGAAGUUAGUGAGACCCUUGAGUAGACAACUCUUUCUCCCAGCAGUUUUGGGAUUCCUUGUAGCCUUAUAUUCAGUACCACAUUUCUACAUCAGGCCCUCAUUAAUCUAGGCCCUUCUUUCUGCUUCUUGCUUUUAUGAUUUCACUGUUCCUUGAGCCCUCCACUAAAGGUAGGACAAGAAGAGA
This 236-nucleotide long non-coding RNA is filed under the name Homo sapiens (human). Its description in RNAcentral is "HSALNT0201596". The record is from RNAcentral. Lineage: Eukaryota; Metazoa; Chordata; Mammalia; Primates; Hominidae.